ACACGUAGGGGCCUGACGUUGUUCGGAAUCAUUGGGCGUAAAGGGCGCGCAGGCGGCCGUCCAAGUCCGGUGUUAAAUGGUCGGGCUCAACCCGAUCAUGCGCUGGAAACUGGGCGGCUUGAGUCCCGUAGGGGAUGCCGGAAUUCCAGGUGUAGGGGUGAAAUCUGUGGAUAUCUGGAAGAACACCGAUGGCGAAGGCAGGCCUCUGGGCUGACACAGAUGCGGCGUCGCGAGAGCGGGGGGAGCACACAGGAUUAGAUAGGCUGGUAGACCACGCCCUAAACGGUGUUCACUGGGUGUUCGGGGAGCGACCUCUGAGUACCGUAGCUAACGCGUGAAGUGAUCCGGCUGGGGAGUACGGUCGCAAGAUUAAAACUCAAAUGAAUUGACGGGG
Molecule: ribosomal RNA, 394 nt
Filed under: uncultured bacterium
Lineage: Bacteria
Description: partial 16S ribosomal RNA
Rfam family: Bacterial small subunit ribosomal RNA
Source: RNAcentral